This 253-nucleotide ribosomal RNA is filed under the name uncultured bacterium. RNAcentral's name for it is "partial 16S ribosomal RNA". It matches the Rfam family "Bacterial small subunit ribosomal RNA", at positions 524 to 776 of the family's 1533-position model. The record is from RNAcentral.
UACGGAGGGGGCAAGCGUUAUCCGGAAUCACUGGGUUUAAAGGGUGCGUAGGCGGCUUGAUAAGUCAGGGGUGAAAGCCCGCAGCUUAACUGCGGAACUGCCUUUGAUACUGUCGAGCUUGAAAGAGGUUGAGGUCAGCGGAACGUGACAUGUAGCGGUGAAAUGCAUAGAUAUGUCACAGAACACCGAUUGCGAAGGCAGCUGGCUGGACCUACGUUGACGCUGAGGCACGAAAGCGUGGGGAGCGAACAUG